This 24-nucleotide non-coding RNA is filed under the name Mus musculus (house mouse). Lineage: Eukaryota; Metazoa; Chordata; Mammalia; Rodentia; Muridae. The record is from RNAcentral. RNAcentral also lists the same sequence under 1 other name.
UGAGAUGCAGUUGUGCCUGAUAGG